Molecule: ribosomal RNA, 484 nt
Filed under: uncultured bacterium
Lineage: Bacteria
Description: partial 16S ribosomal RNA
Rfam family: Bacterial small subunit ribosomal RNA
Source: RNAcentral
AUUGAACGCUGGCGGCAGGCCUAACACAUGCAAGUCGAGCGGAUGAAGGGAGCUUGCUCCUGGAUUCAGCGGCGGACGGGUGAGUAAUGCCUAGGAAUCUGCCUGGUAGUGGGGGAUAACGUCCGGAAACGGGCGCUAAUACCGCAUACGUCCUGAGGGAGAAAGUGGGGGAUCUUCGGACCUCACGCUAUCAGAUGGGCCUAGGUCGGAUUAGCUAGUUGGUGGGGUAAAGGCCUACCAAGGCGACGAUCCGUAACUGGUCUGAGAGGAUGAUCAGUCACCCUGGAACUGAGACACGGUCCAGACUCCUACGGGAGGCAGCAGUGGGGAAUAUUGGACAAUGGGCGAAAGCCUGAUCCAGCCAUGCCGCGUGUGUGAAGAAGGUCUUCGGAUUGUAAAGCACUUUAAGUUGGGAGGAAGGGCAGUAAGUUAAUACCUUGCUGUUUUGACGUUACCAACAGAAUAAGCACCGGCUAACUUCGUG